This is a long non-coding RNA of Liolophura sinensis, 528 nucleotides long. RefSeq lists it as uncharacterized. The transcript has 3 exons. The record is from RefSeq and is a predicted model, not a curated record. NCBI's taxonomy places the organism in Eukaryota, Metazoa, Mollusca, Polyplacophora, Chitonida, Chitonidae.
AAUUUUAGCAAAUAGUUUUUUGUUUCAAGGACAGGUCAGAAUGAAACCUUGGUUACUUGUGAUCCUCUUCCUAGUCUCCGGAACACUUUGUAUUCAAGGCACCUCCCUGGAUGAGAAGUGUCAGGAUGACAGCGAAUGUGCAGUUCCAAACACAGUGUGCAAGCCUGAUCACUGUUUGGUAUCCACUUGUCAGUGUAACAUGGGAUACAGGCCGAACGCUCAAACAAUGCAAUGUGACAAAGUAGUUUGCAGUAGUACAACAUUUAAUCCACCCUCGAUUUCGACAAGCAAAUCAGCGUCAUCCACCACGUCAACACAGUCUACGUUGUUAUCGGCUUCCACAGUUCACCCCAACACUACAGCCGGUGGAACAACAACGACAACAGUACCUCCCGUACUGCUUGGUCAAAAAUGUACAAAUGUUACAAAAUGCGCUGAUCUUCGAUCUGUAUGUCCACCACAUCGAUGUGACGGGAUGGUUUGUCAGUGUGAUGUAGGAUACAUAACCAAUGCUCAGCUGAACAUUUG